GGGGUUGUGGCUCAGUGGUAGAGUGCUUGUCUCCCAUGCAUGGGGCAAUGGGUUCCAUCCUCAGCACCA
This is a non-coding RNA of Ictidomys tridecemlineatus (thirteen-lined ground squirrel), 69 nucleotides long. NCBI's taxonomy places the organism in Eukaryota, Metazoa, Chordata, Mammalia, Rodentia, Sciuridae. The record is from Rfam.